Molecule: ribosomal RNA, 616 nt
Filed under: Thaxterogaster herpeticus
Lineage: Eukaryota; Fungi; Basidiomycota; Agaricomycetes; Agaricales; Cortinariaceae
Description: eukaryotic LSU rRNA
Rfam family: Eukaryotic large subunit ribosomal RNA
Source: RNAcentral
UGACCUCAAAUCAGGUAGGACUACCCGCUGAACUUAAGCAUAUCAAUAAGCGGAGGAAAAGAAACUAACAAGGAUUCCCCUAGUAACUGCGAGUGAAGUGGGAAAAGCUCAAAUUUAAAAUCUGGCAGUCUCUGGCUGUCCGAGUUGUAAUCUAGAGAAGUGUUAUCCGCGCUGGACCGUGUACAAGUCUCCUGGAAUGGAGCGUCAUAGAGGGUGAGAAUCCCGUCUUUGACACGGACUGCCAGGGCUUUGUGAUGCGCUCUCAAAGAGUCGAGUUGUUUGGGAAUGCAGCUCAAAAUGGGUGGUAAAUUCCAUCUAAAGCUAAAUAUUGGCGAGAGACCGAUAGCGAACAAGUACCGUGAGGGAAAGAUGAAAAGAACUUUGGAAAGAGAGUUAAACAGUACGUGAAAUUGCUGAAAGGGAAACGCUUGAAGUCAGUCGCGUUGGUCAGGGAUCAACCUUGCUUUUGCUAGGUGUACUUUCUGGUUGACGGGUCAGCAUCAAUUUUGAUCAUUGGAAAAAGAUUAGGGGAAUGUGGCAUCCUUGGAUGUGUUAUAGCCCUUGGUUGUAUACAAUGGUUGGGAUUGAGGAGCUCAGCACGCCGCAAGGCCGGGUU